CAAGCUUAAAUUGAAGAGUUUGAUCAUGGCUCAGAUUGAACGCUGGCGGCAGGCCUAACACAUGCAAGUCGAGCGGUAGCACAGAGAGCUUGCUCUCGGGUGACGAGCGGCGGACGGGUGAGUAAUGUCUG
Molecule: ribosomal RNA, 131 nt
Filed under: Klebsiella pneumoniae
Lineage: Bacteria; Pseudomonadati; Pseudomonadota; Gammaproteobacteria; Enterobacterales; Enterobacteriaceae
Description: partial 16S ribosomal RNA
Rfam family: Bacterial small subunit ribosomal RNA
Source: RNAcentral